This 251-nucleotide ribosomal RNA is filed under the name uncultured Eubacteriales bacterium. Its description in RNAcentral is "uncultured Clostridiales bacterium partial 16S ribosomal RNA". It matches the Rfam family "Bacterial small subunit ribosomal RNA", at positions 83 to 334 of the family's 1533-position model. The record is from RNAcentral. Lineage: Bacteria; Bacillati; Bacillota; Clostridia; Eubacteriales.
AAAAGUGGAUUAGCGGCGGACGGGUGAGUAACACGUGAGUAACCUGCCUUAGACAUUGGGAUAGCCUCGGGAAACCGGGAUUAAUACCAAAUAAGAUCAUAAUGACACAUGUCAUAACGAUCAAAACUCCGGUGGCCUAAGAUGGACUCGCGUCCCAUUAGCUAGUUGGUAGAGUAAAAGCCUACCAAGGCGACGAUGGGUAGCCGGCCUGAGAGGGUGAACGGCCACAUUGGAACUGAGAAACGGUCCAA